Molecule: ribosomal RNA, 738 nt
Filed under: Actinomycetes bacterium
Lineage: Bacteria; Bacillati; Actinomycetota; Actinomycetes
Description: bacterial SSU rRNA
Rfam family: Bacterial small subunit ribosomal RNA
Source: RNAcentral
UCGGGGUACACGAGCGGCGAACGGGUGAGUAACACGUGAGCAACCUGCCCCUGACUCUGGGAUAAGCGGUGGAAACGCCGUCUAAUACCGGAUACGACCUUCCGCCUCAUGGUGGAGGGUGGAAAGUUUUUUCGGUCAGGGAUGGGCUCGCGGCCUAUCAGCUUGUUGGUGGGGUAACGGCCUACCAAGGCGAUUACGGGUAGCCGGCCUGAGAGGGCGACCGGCCACACUGGGACUGAGACACGGCCCAGACUCCUGCGGGAGGCAGCAGUGGGGAAUAUUGCGCAAUGGGCGAAAGCCUGACGCAGCGACGCCGCGUGGGGGAUGACGGCCUUCGGGUUGUAAACCUCUUUUACCACCAACGCAGGCUCCGGGUUCUCUCGGGGUUGACGGUAGGUGGGGAAUAAGGACCGGCUAACUACGUGCCAGCAGCCGCGGUAAUACGUAGGGUCCGAGCGUUGUCCGGAAUUAUUGGGCGUAAAGAGCUCGUAGGCGGCGUGUCGCGUCUGCUGUGAAAGACCGGGGCUUAACUCCGGUUCUGCAGUGGAUACGGGCAUGCUAGAGGUAGGUAGGGGAGACUGGAAUUCCUGGUGUAGCGGUGAAAUGCGCAGAUAUCAGGAGGAACACCGGUGGCGAAGGCGGGUCUCUGGGCCUUACCUGACGCUGAGGAGCGAAAGCAUGGGGAGCGAACAGGAUUAGAUACCCUGGUAGUCCAUGCCGUAAACGUUGGGCGCUAGG